RNAcentral lists this long non-coding RNA (1446 nucleotides) under Sus scrofa (pig). Its description in RNAcentral is "lncRNA (ENSSSCG00005040535.1)". Lineage: Eukaryota; Metazoa; Chordata; Mammalia; Artiodactyla; Suidae. The record is from RNAcentral.
UGGGCUCCAUCCUAGCGAUCUCGAUGGAGGUUCCUGCAGCGUUUUUUCCAGCUCUCCCUGUCUUUUUUCCAUGGGAUUUUUCUUUCCUUUUUUAGGCGGAGGGUUGCCAUAUCCCUCAAAUUAGGAGCAAGGGGAGAAAAUGAGAAAUUCUGGUUUCGCUCCACCUGUGCUCCACCCACCCAGGUUCUUUCCAAAAAAUUUAAAAAAGAUUAGAGCUGGAAGAAGUCAGCAGAAAGCUCUAAAGUGCCUCUGGUUUCACCUGGUGCCUUAGCUGAGAUGGAGUGGUAGAGCCUCCUGGGGGCCUUUGAUGCAGAGGAAGAAGAACAGUGGAAGAGUGUUGCUGUGAAGAGAGCUUUCAGUGUUCCAGCGCUCACUCAUUCACUCUUAGCCCAGGACAUCCAUUUAAAUGAAAAGUUAUUACAACAGAGGGAGACAUAGUCCCUGAGCCUAAAGAGAAGACCCUUCAUGUUCAACUUCUUGCUCUAAGACGGAAUUACCGUACAAGGUAGGUAAUAUGGUGCCCAGGGGAUGUCAUUGACUGAAUGUAAGAGGCUCUGAAUCAUUGCGUGUCUAGGGUGAGUCCCUUUUCCCCUCUGAGCCUCAGUUUCUGCCUCUGUAAAAAGGAGAGGAUAAAGUUUUGUUGUUUUGUUUGCAUUCACGUUCUGCAGUUCCAUGAAGUACCACUUGGGGUCCAGAGUGAGCCGUGGGAAGGAGCCCUUUGUGAUGUGAUGUUGCACCCAUAGCAGUAUGUCUUCCAGGCUCUCUAUCACUUUCUUAUUUUCUCAUCAGAUUUCUGUCACUGGAGCUUUAUGUUAGAGGAUAAAAUUCCACCUAGUUAGGGUUUAGACCAUUGUUUACCUGCCUAGGCUUUUACGUAUAAACCAUGGAUUAUCUUGUAACCCUUGAUGCCAGGGUGCGGGUUUUAUUUGAGGAUGUGCUGGAGGGAAAAGGAGGUAAUUAACUACCAACGAACGCUUUCUCUCAGGGAAGGGGGGGAAAAGAAAGCAGAGAGAAUGUAAAUAUGAGGAAGUCUGAACUAGUCAUAGCUAUGAUUUAUUGAGAGCUUCCUAUUUGCCAGGUAAAUCUAAGUGUUUUCUAUAUUCUAUCUCACAUCUAAUUCUUAUAACAACCAUUUCAAAUGUGAAUUGUGACCCAUUCCAAGCAAAUGAGCUGUUUCCAAGGACACAUGAGAUGUGGAUGAUAGAGCUAAGAACUGGCUGCCAACUGCAACACUCACUCUUAUAACCACUACUCUAGACUGAUCCAUGAGAAGAGUGAAAGGUAGCUUCAGAGGCCCAUGAACCUGGAACUAUUCCCUCAAUAUGAAAAGAUGAAGUCAAACAUUUUAGCAAGAAGUUGAUUUAAUUCAGUUGUAUCAUAUUGGCAGUUUUGCUCAAUGCCAUGACAUUAUUAUAUGUGGGUCAGGACCCUAGAAUGAUUCCUGAU